Long non-coding RNA from Oncorhynchus tshawytscha (Chinook salmon), 328 nucleotides. The record is from Ensembl. Lineage: Eukaryota; Metazoa; Chordata; Actinopteri; Salmoniformes; Salmonidae.
GGAACAGGCAGGGCUGCAGACCGCCCAGAGGGAACAGGCUGAGCUGCAGACCGCCCAGGGGGAACAGGCAGGGCUGCAGACCGCCCAGAGGGAACAGGCUGAGCUGCAGACCGCCCAGGGGGAACAGGCUGAGCUGCAGACCGCCCAGGGGGAACAGGCAGGGCUGCAGAAAGAAUUAGACAGACUUGAAAGCCCGACUGCAAGAAGAGAGGUUGGCUGAGAAGGUAAAGAAAAAAAAAAACAUUCACCUGUGGUACUGUUUACCCAUUUAACAACAGUAUAAUCACACAACAUUUAGAUGCAUUCUGUCAUUUCAUAUUGUUUUUUU